UCGCAUUAAACCAACUGAGGCUCGAUGAAUUCGCUCGUACUGACCUCGCGUUCAAGUCGACAGUUGUUGCGGAGUCAAGGAGCGGGCAUACAAAGACACACAAUCGAUACGCAGCAAUCUUUUUUCGCAGUCCACGGACACGGAGCAUGACGCCCUGUACUUCGGCUUGCCAGUGGCAGUGGGCGCCUCGGUGAACACCAUCAUGCCGGUCUCGCUGCCGCUGGUCUUGCUCCACGACAUUGCGCCGGUCACGCGUAAGCAGCUGAUCCUGACAGGAGCCUUCGUGAAGACCGUGGUGGUGGCCAUCAUUCUUCUCUCGAUGAACACCACGGGAGAAUACGUUUUACACAGCAACAAGCAAUUCAACAACACCGCCGAGAGUCUGCAGACAUUCCUGCUGCGCUAAACCCACUCUAGAGAGACCGCGGGGACUGCGACAUUCUUUUCUUGAUUUCUUUCUCAUUUGUUUUUUCACAGUAAAGCGCAGGCUGACAUAUAGUGAAUAAAACGCCUUAUUCGACGGCUAAAGCAUGUUGACAGGUAAAACAAUA
Molecule: long non-coding RNA, 551 nt
Organism: Dermacentor albipictus
Lineage: Eukaryota; Metazoa; Arthropoda; Arachnida; Ixodida; Ixodidae
Source: RefSeq, a predicted model, not a curated record